GGGAAGCACAUGACAUCAGCACCGCUUUCCUAUCAGGGAUGCCAGCCCCCACGCAGAGGAGCUCGGCGAAUUUGCAGGGUGGAGCAGACGGUGGUGUUCUUCCCGCUCCAGAGCCCUCUGUGGGACAGACCAAAGCUGGACUCCAAGGGAGCCUCCUGUCUACCCAGCGUCUCCCUGCUGCUCCUGCCCCCGAUUCUGACUGUGUCCCGGGAGCUCCCAGGUGGGAGCAUCUGUGUGAGAACCCUCAUCCCAGCCUCCGCCUCCAGGAACGCUGGAGUUGGACUCACAGGAAGCAGAUGAAUGGCUAUUGUUCCUAACGUGACCCAGCUUGUAUUU
Molecule: long non-coding RNA, 336 nt
Filed under: Equus caballus (horse)
Lineage: Eukaryota; Metazoa; Chordata; Mammalia; Perissodactyla; Equidae
Description: lncRNA (ENSECAG00000046692.1)
Source: RNAcentral